This 213-nucleotide long non-coding RNA is filed under the name Homo sapiens (human). RNAcentral describes it as "HSALNT0196226". The record is from RNAcentral. Lineage: Eukaryota; Metazoa; Chordata; Mammalia; Primates; Hominidae.
UGUUUCUCUCUCAUCUCCAAUCGCACAUUCAACAGUGGUUCUCGGUCUCCUGGCAUUUAGGAUUUAUGUCUGUUAUUAUUACUGACAAAGAUAAGAGCUUAUGAGGACUGGCUGGAGAGGUGAUACUCUGGCCUAGACAGUACCUGAGCAAGCCCAGAAAACCAUCAGAUAAUCUACAAACUCACUGAAAUUUUAUUCCUUCCUUGUAAAAUU